This is a long non-coding RNA of Raphanus sativus (radish), 619 nucleotides long. RefSeq lists it as uncharacterized. The transcript is spliced from 2 exons. The record is from RefSeq and is a predicted model, not a curated record. Lineage: Eukaryota; Viridiplantae; Streptophyta; Magnoliopsida; Brassicales; Brassicaceae.
AAGAGAGUAAUUCUUAUUGAAGUUUAGUUUGAGUUCUUGUGUUUUUGUCUAAUCGUUUUCAACAAACUUAUUGUAAGAUGUUGCUUCACGGUGGGAAGAGGUGGAAAGACCUUCGCUGGAGGGACAGUCAACGUGGUGGAAGUUUGCAUGUAGCAGUCACGUUUUUACCGGCCGAACAUUGCAUGCAUGAAGAUUGAGUUUUGAUUCCAUUUGAUAUAUAAAUUUGUGUAUAAUUUAGUUUAGUUGUCUCACAAUCAAAACUCAUCACCAAAACUCAUCUAAUGCCCAAAGGUAGAGUCCACCCAGAAACAAGUUUGUAAACAAGUUCCAGCUUUAUCUCCAGGGAAAGAAUUUGAAGACCUGGACGUAAGUGAUCACCUAAUUUCUCCAGACCAGCCCACAGCAGGUACACAUCGGUGUUUCAUAAUGGAGAGAAAGUGAUAGUGAAAGUACAAGUGACACAUGAUCUGUGGAGUUUUUAUAAGGUUCUUCAAUCACCGAGUAUUAGAACCUUUUCUGACACACUUUCUAUUUUUUGGCACUUUUAAGUUUUGGAAACUUAUGUAUAGUCCACCCAAAAUCUAGUUUGUAAAUGGGAAGACCAACGAAAUUUUAUUAA